RNA transcript from Fragaria vesca subsp. vesca, 810 nucleotides. RefSeq lists it as uncharacterized. The transcript has 2 exons. Lineage: Eukaryota; Viridiplantae; Streptophyta; Magnoliopsida; Rosales; Rosaceae. The record is from RefSeq and is a predicted model, not a curated record.
GAAGGGGCGUUGACCCGAGCUCUGUCUCUCUCUCUCCGCUGCUCCAGCCUAGCUCCGUCGCAAUUCCAGCCGUCGUCGACCACAAGCCGCCGCCUCACCAGUCUAAAAUGGAUCAUCUCCACCCUUAUUUCCAAACCCGACCCUCAAAUCCGAAUGGCAUCCACACAAGGAAGAGAUCGAAGCGGAAGAACACAACUGUGUUCAUCGGAAUCCGAAUAAUUCCGGCAAGCUCAGGCAGCGAUGCGACCCUCUAAGGCCAUGUUUUCCGGUAAGUGGCUGCAGCUGAAGCCGAUGAGGCUUCCCGGUGACUCUCGUCUCCUUCCCGACGACCUGUUGACCAUCAAGAGGCCAAGGCGAACGUGUGUGGAGAUUUGAGGUGUUGCUGCUGCUGUGUCGAGCAAAACCCGAACCCUGUUUCUGACGAGAAGCUGCUGCCGGCAAGGAGGAGCUGUUGGACUCGUAAUUAGGGGGUAGAUUGAAGGUAAUCUUCGUGUUUUAGCUGCUGUGAAGUUCUGUGUUGUUGGUUGUUGAGGUGUUGAUCCGGUUGUUUUGGUUGUUGUUGUCGAGAAUUGGGUGUUUUUGAGAAUGCAGGGAGACUAUGACGAAAUUCCGGCAAGGGAUUCCGGCGAAGCAGCAGAUCCGGUAGAGAGCCGAGAAGGUAGUUCUUGAGGUUAUUCUUUCUAAUUCAAGUUGUAGUUUCCGGUUUAGUAAAAUCUGCCAUGUUAGGAAAGUUUCUAUUUAGGGAGACUUUCCCUUUAUGGAAACCCAUUUUUAGGUGUCCUUAGUGAUUUAUGGUGAGAAGUUGUGUAG